AGCGAACCACCAUAGUCACUGGAGAUAAGAAGCGAACCACCAUAGUCACUGGAGAUAAGAAGCGAACCACCAUAGCCACCGAGAGGAGAAGUUGCGAAGGGGAGAAAUUAUCAGAAAUCGCCGAAUAAGGGAGAUGGUUUAGGGAUUUAUCUUUAGUUCUCUUCAAGCCAUGGCUCAUAGGCUGUUCAGCCUCUAUCAUCGCCACAGAGAAAGAGAGGGUGAGAUUUAGGGAUUUCCUUUUCCUUUACCCUUGGCCAGUACCGUUGAAUGAAUGAGAUAGAGCAAUUAGGGGAUAAAUCCCAUAUUUCUACCAUCUGCGUGAAGUUUUUUUUUAUUCCAGUCUAUUUUGUUUUUCUUGUGCUUAAUGAUUAUCUUUUGUAAAAAAUUUCGAACUAGAAAUACCUAGUGUUGAUUUCCUUAUUGCACCCUGUGAUAACCUCUUUUCAGAUGCAAAUAAAAAAAUAAAAAUAUUCAGUUUUACUAAUUGAAUUUUAAAUGAAUAAGUGUUAAGGGUAUAAAAAUCUUGUGUGAUUAGUGAGGGUACCGUUUUAAUACGAGUGGACGGGGUGCUAAUACCUUUCCCAAUCCGUAAUCGACACCCGAAUUCAGAGUCUCUAUUCAUAGACCAUUUUUAUCGGGCAUAAACGAGAGUUUUUUACGUUUUAACCGCGAAAAUGUAGUGGCGACUCCAAAUCAAUCGGAAGAGGUACAAUUCGAGUCCACCUCUCCCUAAGUCGUAGAGUUGGUCUUCCAACCGAAAACUGGGUCGCGACAAUCUUCUUGCAUACAUUUUUCAGAUUCUUGAUCUUUCAAGUAUGCAUCCUCUAGAGUACCUACAAGAUCAUCACACAUAGCAUUCAUCUUCUCUUUUGGAGAAGAUUGAUAAAAUAGCAC
Molecule: long non-coding RNA, 894 nt
Filed under: Lupinus angustifolius (narrow-leaved blue lupine)
Lineage: Eukaryota; Viridiplantae; Streptophyta; Magnoliopsida; Fabales; Fabaceae
Description: long non-coding RNA (LANG_LNC000169)
Source: RNAcentral